Molecule: long non-coding RNA, 4935 nt
Filed under: Salvia miltiorrhiza (redroot sage)
Lineage: Eukaryota; Viridiplantae; Streptophyta; Magnoliopsida; Lamiales; Lamiaceae
Description: long non-coding RNA (SMIL_LNC004889)
Source: RNAcentral
UAGUACAACAACCACAUAUUUCCCUGGACAAAUAUUUAACAAACUCGUACAAUUUGAUAGUAAUAAAUGGAACAUCCGAAACCUGUGAAUCUUUCUGAGUACAUAAUAUAGAAACUCAAACACAAGUAACUAAAUAGAAAGAAAUCCAAACAUAUAAUUAUUAUGUAUAUAAAACUGAUUGCUAAAAAUCUAGUAAAAAAUAUUUCCACGUACAGGAAAUAUAACCAAGCAAUCCUCUAGGAUAAAAUAUUUUGUGACACUAAUUGCUAAAAUCAUGAGGCAAAAUAAUCACAGAAACUCCCAACCAAAAGUUGUCAUGAAAAUAGUUUUGCCAUGUAUUUGACAUGGUGGCAUCAGAUUUCCAAUUUAUCUUGACAUUAUUGGAUCAUAUUUGUUACUUAGAAUUGAGGAGGCGUAGAACGUAAUGUGGUCUUGCAUCUUCAUAAAGGACCAUGAAUAUCUCCAAGUGUUCCACUUUGUGGGCUAGAAUUUCACAAAUGUUGAACUUGUCGUGGAGAGAGAGAUGAGGAAUGGAACCCAACAGAUCGAAUACCUCCUUCCUCGCUUUUUCUAAGUCUUGGUCAUAUCCGAUCAACUAGCUAGAUUCUCCAAUCUAGCAUUCAUAUUGCGACUAAUCUCACCAAGCAGAGCGUAGCCAUAAGUGGAUUUGCAUUUCUUGCCUCUAGUUUCUUUCACUUGUGCAGGUUGCUUGCUUCCAUAAACACUAUUUUUCCCUUGUGUGGCUUCAAAUAUGUCAUCAAGGCUAACGUUAUAAUCAUCGGCCGAUGCAGAUUCUUCCAUGUCAUCUUGUUGCUCCAAUUUAUUCAACACAUCGAGAAUGUCCUCUGCAUUAUCACACGUUGCCCACUCCGUUUCCAAAAAUCUCUUUCCAAUCCACAAAGUAAGGUCAAGGCUUUUACCGCAUUGAACAAGCAUUACUAUCGCUCUGUCAUGUCAACAAAAAGCAAAAUUCAACAUAUAUCGCAAAUUUAAAUCAUGGAAGCUAUCACAAAAAUUAUAUUAUGCAAAUAAUGCACCUUUUCGUAAUACUUUCUUGCAGAGCAUAAACAUAUAAAUUAAUUUGAAAGAAAUUCUAAGGAUAAAAAUAAGUCAUGUUUUCUAUAGAAAUCACUAGUUAACAUUUUAAAACAUGUGAAGAUAAGUAAAAAUAAGCCAACCUCGUACGUGUAACUUCAAGUCCUUAUUCACUACAAGAAAGAAACAAUGGACUUCAUGACCAAACUAUAAUCAUCGAGGGAAAAAAUAUAGAAGAAAGAAAACAAUUUUAGAUAAAGACUCUUCUCCACAAUAUUCAGAAGACAUUCAUUUAUAUAGCAGAGAAAAAUUAUGAAACAAAAGCUAUGAUCAGGUUCAGAGGGUCACAAAUCUCAUUUCAUUCAUGAACAUAGUUAGCACCACAAUGAGAAAGCUUUCAUCCAUUUUUAAAAAUUCAUUGAAGGAUUUCAGAGAUAUGGAUUAUUCCCCAACAACAAAAUUUCAACUUUACAUAUUUAUUAUCAUCAUAGUAGAUAAUCUUUAGUAUCAUUUCAGAUCAAGCAUGCCCGCAUUUUAUUAUAUGCAUGUGAAGGUUGUAGUGGAAAUGAAGGAUUUCAUAGAUAUAGACAUUAAUAUCCACAUGACUAUAUCAAACAAAGAAUCUGAUCGAGUUCCAUACCAAUAUAAAGUGUAGCUAAGGCACUGAGUAUCCGGCCACUAUAGAAAAUAACUGCUAAUAAACAUCUUUAUAUCACUCUUGUUAAUAUCUUAUUUUCUUCCAUUUUUGAAUUAUAUAUUUCAUUUCAUUUACCUGAUGUACAAAUGCAUGCAUAAAGAUAAUUACAAUUAGCAAUAACUUUAGGUUUAUAUCGCUUCAUUCAUCAUUCCAUAAUCACAAAUUUAAAUCAUGCAAGAAUUUGUUGAAAAUUAUAAUAUGCAAUCAAUGUACCGAGUUUACCUUCACAAUACAAUCCCACUGAUCAUCAUCACAGUAAAUCAUGAAUGUCUCAUUCCAAAUUGAAUCCAACUCCACUUCGACUCAAGAUUUUGGUCAAGGAGUAAUAAUUUUUCUUUUAUGUGCUCGGCUUCGAGUUGAUAUGAGGAUUUCCUCUAGAUUUGUUCCAUGAAAAUGUUUCUUUAAAGCAUAUUUUAGUUUAUUAAGGUAGCUAACCCUUAACCCCUUGUCUGACCUCCAACCUUGAGCCACGAGUUCUUUCAGAGCUGCAAGAAGAGUCUUCUCCUCUUUAGAUGACCAACUACAUCAGCUCUUAUUGGUUUUCUUGCCAUUGACAUGACCCAUGAAAAAUUUUUAUUUCACAAUUACAUUUGAAAAUCAAUCCUAUUGUUCAAACAUGUAAGCAACAACAAGAAAAAAAAAAAAAGGAUAAGAAACGCUUAAAAGACAUGUUCUCACAUUUAAAGCAGCCCACAAACAGAAAAUCAAAUUAUAACAAAUUUCAGAGUUAUCAUGUUACCUAAUUUCAUAUUUCUUCCAAUUCCAAGUAUGAUUUCUCCAAUUUUCAUGUCGAUGAGAUCAAUAUAAUUAGGCUCAUUUCUUGUAAAAAGACACGUAAUUUCUUGUAAUUCCCAAUUAUAUUGGAAUAAAAAUACGAUUAAAAUUAUAAUUUCAAGUGGGAGCAAUAUUGAUUAAGUCGAUGGAAUUACAAGAGAUNUAGAAACUCAAACACAAGUAACUAAAUAGAAAGAAAUCCAAACAUAUAAUUAUUAUGUAUAUAAAACUGAUUGCUAAAAAUCUGUAAAAAAUAUUUCCACGUACAGGAAAUAUAACCAAGCAAUCCUCUAGGAUAAAAUAUUUUGUGACACUAAUUGCUAAAAUCAUGAGGCAAAAUAAUCACAGAAACUCCCAACCAAAAGUUGUCAUGAAAUAGUUUUGCCAUGUAUUUGACAUGGUGGCAUCAGAUUUCCAAUUUAUCUUGACAUUAUUGGAUCAUAUUUGUACUUAGAAUUGAGGAGGCGUAGAACGUAAUGUGGUCUUGCAUCUUCAUAAAGGACCAUGAAUAUCUCCAAGUGUUCCACUUUGUGGGCUAGAAUUUCACAAAUGUUGAACUUGUCGUGGAGAGAGAGAUGAGGAAUGGAACCCAACAGAUCGAAUACCUCCUUCCUCGCUUUUCUUAAGUCUUGGUCAUAUCCGAUCAACUAGCUAGAUUCUCCAAUCUAGCAUUCAUAUUGCGACUAAUCUCACCAAGCAGAGCGUAGCCAUAAGUGGAUUUGCAUUUCUUGCCUCUAGUUUCUUUCACUUGUGCAGGUUGCUUGCUUCCAUAAACACUAUUUUUCCCCUUGUGUGGCUUCAAAUAUGUCAUCAAGGCUAACGUUAUAAUCAUCGGCCGAUGCAGAUUCUUCCAUGUACAUCUUGUUGCUCCAAUUUUAUUCAACACAUCGAGAAUGUCCUCUGCAUUAUCACACGUUGCCCACUCCGUUUCCAAAAAUCUCUUUCCAAUCCACAAAGUAAGGUCAAGGCUUUUACCGCAUUGAACAAGCAUUACUAUCGCUCUGUCAUGUCAACAAAAAGCAAAAUUCAACAUAUAUCGCAAAUUUAAAUCAUGGAAGCUAUCACAAAAUUAAUAUUAUGCAAAUAAUGCACCUUUCGUUAAUACUUUCUUGCAGAGCAUAAACAUAUAAAUUAAUUUGUAAAGAAAUUACUAAGGAUAAAAAUAAGUCAUGUUUUCUAUAGAAAUCACUAGUUAACAUUUUAAAACAUGUGAAGAUAAGUAAAAAUAAGCCAACCUCGUACGUGUAACUUCAAGUCCUUAUUCACUACAAGAAAGAAACAAUGGACUUCAUGACCAAACUAUAAUCAUCGAGGGAAAAAAUAUAGAAGAAAGAAAACAAUUUUAGAUAAAGACUCUUCUCACAAUAUUCAGAAGACAUUCAUUUAUAUAGCAGAGAAAAAUUAUGAAACAAAAGCUAUGAUCAGGUUCAGAGGGUCACAAAUCUCAUUUCAUUCAUGAACAUAGUUAGCACCACAAUGAGAAAGCUUUCAUCCAUUUUUAAAAAUUUCAUUGAAGGAUUUUCAGAGAUAUGGAUUAUUCCCCAACAACAAAAUUUCAACUUUACAUAUUUAUUAUCAUCAUAGUAGAUAAUCUUUAGUAUCAUUUCAGAUCAAGCAUGCCCGCAUUUUAUUAUAUGCAUGUGAAGGUUGUAGUGGAAAUGAAGGAUUUCAUAGAUAUAGACAUUAAUAUCCACAUGACUAUAUCAAACAAAGAAUCUGAUCGAGUUCCAUACCAAUAUAAAGUGUAGCUAAGGCACUGAGUAUCCGGCCACUAUAGAAAAUAAAAAAAAGGAUAAGAAACGUUUAAAAGACAUGUUCUCACAUUUAAAGCAGCCCACAAACAGAAAAUCAAAUUAUAACAAAUUUCAGAGUUAUCAUGUUACCUAAUUUCAUAUUUCUUCCAAUUCCAAGUAUGAUUUCUCCAAUUUUCAUGUCGAUGAGAUCAAUAUAAUUAGGCUCAUUUAUUGUAAAAAGACACGUAAUUUCUUGUAAUUCCCAAUUAUAUUGGAAUAAAAAUACGAUUAAAAUUAUAAUUUCAUGUGGGAGCAAUAUUGAUUAAGUCGAUGGAAUUACAAGAGAUGUCAAUGGGCGCAAUAUAAUUAUAUAAUUCCAAGAAAAACAAGAGGAUAAGAAACUAUGGCUCCCAAUUUUAAUGUUGAUGGGAGCAAUAAAAUUAUUGCUGAUAGAAGUAGAUUUUGACGUAGUAACAUAUGUUUGACGCCAUGUCCUAAAUUAUGUAAGAUUAAAUCGAUGCAUGCGGACUAACCUUCUUGGGUAGAUUCCAUUUCGGAUGAUGUUUGGUAGCGGUGAAGACGAAUUUGAUGAGGUUUCUCCAUAAACCUUCUACAUUUUCCGUAUACAAACAAGGGGUCGUCUGUUGGGCUGAGAUAGAAGAGAAAGCUCUUCGAAAAGGCAAUCCCACUGCUGCU